RNAcentral lists this microRNA precursor (103 nucleotides) under Marmota monax (woodchuck). Lineage: Eukaryota; Metazoa; Chordata; Mammalia; Rodentia; Sciuridae. The record is from RNAcentral.
AGUGGGAUAGCUGGGUCAAAUGGUGGUUUCAUUCCCAGAUUUUUGAGGAAUCCCCAUACUGCUUUCCAUAGUGGUUGCACCAAUUUGUAGUCCCACCAGCAAU